GCUUGGCUGGCUCAGUCAGUAGAGCAUGUAACUCUUGAUUUCAGGGUUGUAAGUUCAAGCCCCACGUUGAACA
RNAcentral lists this transfer RNA (73 nucleotides) under Canis lupus familiaris (dog). It matches the Rfam family "tRNA". From Rfam's summary of the family: Transfer RNA (tRNA) molecules are approximately 80 nucleotides in length. Their secondary structure includes four short double-helical elements and three loops (D, anti-codon, and T loops). RNAcentral also lists the same sequence under 1 other name. The record is from Rfam by way of RNAcentral. Lineage: Eukaryota; Metazoa; Chordata; Mammalia; Carnivora; Canidae.